GGGGGGGGGGGGGGGGGGGGGGGGGGCGGGGGGGGCGGACGGUGGAGGCGAGGUGGCUGGGUGGGGUAGUGGCGAGCGGGUGAGUAACCCGUGAGUAGCCUGCCCUUGACUCUGGGAUCAGCCUGGGAAACUGGGUCUAAUGCUGGCUAUGACUUGUCAUCGCAUGGUGGGGGGUGGAAGGGUUUGUUGGUCUUGGAUGGCCUGGCGUCCUAUCAGUUGGUUGGGGAGGUAAUUGCUCCCCAAGGCGACGCGGGUUGCCCGGCCUGAGAGGGUGACCGGCCACACUGGGAUGGAGACACGGCCCAGACUCCUACGGGAGGCAGCAGUGGGGAAUAUUGCACAAUGGGCGCAAGCCUGAUGCAGCGACGCCGCGUGAGGGAUGACGGCCUUCGGGGUGUAAACCUCUUUCAGUAGGGAAGAAGAGAGAGUGACGGUACCUGCAGAAGAAGCGCCGGCUAACUACGUG
This 466-nucleotide ribosomal RNA is filed under the name uncultured bacterium. RNAcentral describes it as "partial 16S ribosomal RNA". It matches the Rfam family "Bacterial small subunit ribosomal RNA", at positions 27 to 507 of the family's 1533-position model. The record is from RNAcentral.